UACAGAGGUCUCAAGCGUUGUUCGGAUUCAUUGGGCGUAAAGGGUGCGUAGGUGGCGCUGUAAGUCGGGUGUGAAAUUUCGGAGCUUAACUCCGAAACUGCAUUCGAUACUGCGGUGCUCGAGGACUGGAGAGGAGACUGGAAUUCAUGGUGUAGCAGUGAAAUGCGUAGAGAUCAUGAGGAACACCGGUGGCGAAGGCGGGUCUCUGGGCCGAUAUUGACGCUGAGGAGCGAAAGCGUGGGGAGCGAACAGG
Molecule: ribosomal RNA, 253 nt
Filed under: uncultured prokaryote
Description: partial 16S ribosomal RNA
Rfam family: Bacterial small subunit ribosomal RNA
Source: RNAcentral